RNAcentral lists this ribosomal RNA (253 nucleotides) under uncultured bacterium. RNAcentral's name for it is "partial 16S ribosomal RNA". It matches the Rfam family "Bacterial small subunit ribosomal RNA", at positions 524 to 776 of the family's 1533-position model. The record is from RNAcentral.
UACGGAGGGGGCUAGCGUUGUUCGGAAUUACUGGGCGUAAAGCGCACGUAGGCGGCUUUGUAAGUUAGAGGUGAAAGCCCGGAGCUCAACUCCGGAAUUGCCUUUAAGACUGCAUCGCUCGAAUCAUGGAGAGGUGAGUGGAAUUCCGAGUGUAGAGGUGAAAUUCGUAGAUAUUCGGAAGAACACCAGUGGCGAAGGCGACUCACUGGACAUGUAUUGACGCUGAGGUGCGAAAGCCAGGGGAGCAAACGGG